This 65-nucleotide transfer RNA is filed under the name Triatoma dimidiata (kissing bug). RNAcentral's name for it is "tRNA-His". Lineage: Eukaryota; Metazoa; Arthropoda; Insecta; Hemiptera; Reduviidae. The record is from RNAcentral.
ACUUGAGUAGUUUAAUAUUAGGAUGAUAAUUUGUGGAGUUAUAGGUAUCGUGUAGAUCUCAGGUU